AAAAUGGAAAUUAAACCAUAGUAUAAUAUGUGUUAGUGGAAUAUGAUGUAAAAUUCCACUUAUAAAUGUUAAUGAUUGAUUAAGUUAAAAAAUUAUGAUUAAGUUAUUAAAACCUAGUUAAUUAACCACAAUUUUAAUAUCUACGAUAAAUUAAAGAAAGGAUCAAGAAUUGAAUCAAAUCGGUGAUAAUCGAGGAAAAGCCAAAAUUGUUGAUUAGUCCCUGAAAAUUGGGUUGUUUGUUGUUUUGAUCAGGUAAGUUCAUAUGAAACUUACUACUGUAUUUUACAUUAUGUUAAUUAGUAUUUUGUUUUAUUUAUGUAUUUGAUUGAAAUGAAUUAGAGAGUUUGACACUUAUAACACAAAAAAUAUUGAAUUGUAAAUUCAUGAGAAUAUUGGUUACAUGAAAAUAGAAUAGAAUGCAAAUGAAAAUGUUGACUAAAUAUAUGUCUUAUAUGAGAAAUUAAAUGGUGUAUAGGAAAUGAUAAUGUCAUUUAUACGGAAAUGAUGCCCAAGUGAACUUAGUAAAUGGUUAGGAUACGUAUCAUGUAAUUGAUCAGGGAUUUACAUGAUGUUAUGAGAUCUAACAUUUGUUGCAGAUUCUCAGAUUAUACGUAUUGUUGGAUUAUCCAGGACGGGUAACCUCGAUAUGAUGUCAGCUUGUGUGAGUAGUUCUGAUAAAAUGUCAGCUUGUGUGAGCAUUACAUUCCUAUGUAUCCAAGUCCAUUUUACUAUAGCUCUAUCGGGCGAUGUACAAUUGAUUAGAAAUGGAGUUUAAUAAUGAAUUUAAAAUGAAAUGGUAAUAAUGAUACUUGACAUAUAGAUUCUUAUGGGAUUAUAUUUCAAAUGAUGACGAUAUUACGAUUCGAGAACGUAACUAACGUAUUCGAUCUGUAGUGAUAUUGCAUGUAUAUAUAUGUAUUCAAGUACCAAGGAAAGUUAAUUUGGUAGUUAAUAGAAUAUUUUUUUAUGCUUAAAUGAUUAAGAUAAGUUUUAAUUUCUAUAUGAGCCUACUAAGCAUUUUAUUCGCUUACCCGUUUGUUUCCAUUUUC
Molecule: long non-coding RNA, 1049 nt
Filed under: Gossypium barbadense (sea-island cotton)
Lineage: Eukaryota; Viridiplantae; Streptophyta; Magnoliopsida; Malvales; Malvaceae
Description: long non-coding RNA (GBAR_LNC017129)
Source: RNAcentral